UUACCUCCCCUGAAUGACGUCAUCCGGGGAUACCCGAUUAUCGACUGUAAGCAAACAAAGAGAUGUAUGUUUGACAAUGUGUGUUUUCAACGGUGUAAAUGGACUUAAAAUAUGAACGAAAAGAUUAAUGACCACGACUAUGCUGUCCAGUUUUACACAGCAACACCAGUAUUCGACUCAAAACCGGAUGGAAAACAGAUUCAAGACAUUACUGUAUCACUCGAGAAGAAGUUGAAGUCUAACAGGAUCUGCUGUGUGCCCAAAUGUCACACCACUGGCUAAGGAUUGUUAGAAGGCCAUGGAAAGCCCAGCUAUCAUGCAUUUCCAGCUGAAGAUGAUCCAGUUCAAGCUGUUUGGUUGAAUAAAAUACGAAGAGAUGAAGACAGACAUUUUAAGAUAAGUCACAAUACGGUUGUCUGUUUUCUCCAUUUUGAACGUGACUGUCUUGAUGAAUCUGGAUUUGCUAAGCGGAGGUAUCUAAAACCAGGAGCCAUCCCUACACUAUUCGACUGCUGGAAGGACAAACCACAUCUGUUGAAGCGAAUUCAAGUGGAACGUGCAAUUAACAAGAUUAAAAGUUUUCACAUAUUUGAUCAGGUCAUUCUGGUUUCUCUGUUUGGGAUAAUUAAUCAAAUUUGGACAGUUUGCUCAUUGCUCACUCUUUUCCAAGACCCAAUUAUACCAUGUCCUGGUGUUUAACAUACAUACCAUUUAUAUGAACAUUUGUUGUUCGUGUACAUCAUACUACAUGUAGGCUAAUGAAAAACCAUUGGCUGUUCAUGUAAUAUUUGUACAUUUUUUGGCUUUGUAUAAAGUUUUUGAUAAUUAUCUUGAUAUAAGCAUUGAUUUAGUUACAGAUUAAUGCUUAAAGAGUACUUAAAGCUACACACCUUGAAAUAAAGUACAUGUUCAUAUAGAUGCAAUUUGAAAGUGUGCAAAAUAUUCAUUAAAUCUAUAGUCUAGUUAGCAAGUAAUUUAUUAUUUUUCAAACAGGAAUAACUGCUUUUAAAACUGAAAGAAGGAUUUCUAUAUUAAACACGAUUAUUUUUAACUUUUUAAAGCGCAAAAAAAGAUGGCUUUCUACCUUGUUACCACCAGAUAUAUUCUAGUUGGCAUAAUAAAAUUAAAUCUAUAGCCUAGUUCAAUAGCAAGUUAUUUUUUUUUUCAAACAGUACUGCUUUUAAAACCGAAAGUAGGAUUUCCAGACGUACACAUCCAUUUCGACAAACGCGAUUAUUUUUAAGUUGUAAAGUGCAAAAAAGAUGGAUUUCUACCUUGUAACCACCAGAUAUAUUCUAAUUGGCAUAGAUAAAAUAUGUCACUCAUACUUAAAUUUACUAUGCCAAAUAAGGUGUGUGGCCUUUACAUAAAAAUUGUAUAUACAUCUUUUUAAUCAUGUUUGUUAAUUUGUUUUGAUUGUAUGACUACUGAAUAAAUAAUUUUGUUAAUAGAAA
Dreissena polymorpha is the source of this 1454-nucleotide long non-coding RNA. RefSeq lists it as uncharacterized. NCBI's taxonomy places the organism in Eukaryota, Metazoa, Mollusca, Bivalvia, Myida, Dreissenidae. The record is from RefSeq and is a predicted model, not a curated record. The transcript is spliced from 4 exons.